GCCUACGGGAGGCAGCAGUGGGGAAUAUUGCGCAAUGGCCGAAAGGCUGACGCAGCGACGCCGCGUGAGUGAUGAAGGCCUUCGGGUCGUAAAGCUCUGUGGGGAGGGACGAAAAAGCACUGGCCAAUAUCCAGUGAACUGACGGUACCUCCUUAGCAAGCACCGGCUAACUCUGUGCCAGCAGCCGCGGUAA
Molecule: ribosomal RNA, 193 nt
Filed under: uncultured bacterium
Lineage: Bacteria
Description: partial 16S ribosomal RNA
Rfam family: Bacterial small subunit ribosomal RNA
Source: RNAcentral